Molecule: long non-coding RNA, 725 nt
Organism: Brassica oleracea var. oleracea
Lineage: Eukaryota; Viridiplantae; Streptophyta; Magnoliopsida; Brassicales; Brassicaceae
Exons: 4
Source: RefSeq, a predicted model, not a curated record
CCUAAACAUGUCUUUAAAACAAUUUUCAGCUUCUCACAAAGGUCAGACCUUUCAAAAAUAACCGGCGAGUUCAAGUUUAAUUCGUGGAGGCAAAACACAUCUUUUGAAGGAGAUUCCUACGAAAUGAUUUUAGCCGACCAAAUGGGUAACAAGAUCCAUGCAUCUUGCAAAAAGACUCACAUGUAUCGAGUUCAAAGUGGCCUACCUAUAGGCGGAUGGGGAGGCAAUUGACAAAAUGAACAUCUCUGGGGCUGGUGGUUCAUAUCGAACAACAAGGCAUCCGUAUAAGAUGACUAUCACAGAUGAGUCAGUGAUAUCACGUUCAGAUUUAACUGAUGAAAGCCUGUUCCUGUCUCUUGCCAAUUAUGAAAAGAUACAAAAUUGUAUAAAGACAGACUUCCUUAUAGAUAUAAUAGGGGAAGAGUUCAUGAACUAGGAGUUGUUCAAACCGUGCAAGUGUCAGGUCAAGACAGAAAAAGGAUUGAAUUCCGCUUAGUUGACACAAAUGCAAAUGGUCUUGCAUGUUGUCUAUGGGGAACUUGUGAGAACGUUUUACUGAGGAAGGAAAUGAUCAACCUAUAGUUUGUUUGAUCAGUUUUGCAAAAAUUGGCUUCUUCAGAGGUAUUUAUUUAGCUUCUUCAAAUCUUUCUGAAUACCUUAUACGAUUGUUCCUAAUGUAAAUUAUAUAAUUAUUAGGUGAGGUACAAAUUAAACAAUAACGUACC